UUUUUUUUUUUUUUUUUUUUCGGGACUUAAAAACGGUGACCCCGGACAUGCCGAAUUUGCGCCAUUCUGGAAAGGACCCCGAAAAUAAUUUUUAACCAUUUUCACAAAAAAGUUUUUUUUUUUUUUUUUUUUUCGGGACUUAAAAACUGUGACCCCGGACAUGCCGAAUUUGCGCCAUUCUGGAAAGGACCCCGAAAAUAAUUUUUAACCAUUUUCACAAAAAAUUUUUUUUUUUUUUUUUUUUUUUUCGGGACUUAAAAACUGUGACCCCGGA
This is a long non-coding RNA of Oncorhynchus keta (chum salmon), 274 nucleotides long. RefSeq lists it as uncharacterized. The transcript has 2 exons. Lineage: Eukaryota; Metazoa; Chordata; Actinopteri; Salmoniformes; Salmonidae. The record is from RefSeq and is a predicted model, not a curated record.